Molecule: unclassified non-coding RNA, 284 nt
Filed under: Hevea brasiliensis (rubber tree)
Lineage: Eukaryota; Viridiplantae; Streptophyta; Magnoliopsida; Malpighiales; Euphorbiaceae
Source: RNAcentral
ACCAUGAAACUCACCGUCAAACAAAUGCACGGUCUAUUAAAGCACAAGGAUUCUCCUUAUAUCAGAGCGAUUGGAUUUCUCUAUUUGAGAUAUGCUGCUGAUCCAAAGACUUUAUGGAAUUGGUUUGAACCAUAUAUUAAAGAUGAUGAGGAAUUCUCUCCGAGCUCUAAUGGACGGAAGAGCACAAUGGGUAUAUAUGUGCGCGACUUGCUUCUUGGACAGUACUACUUCGAUACCCUUUUCCCUCGUAUUCCUGUUCCUGUAAUGCGGCAGAUUGUGUCUAA